Molecule: unclassified non-coding RNA, 595 nt
Filed under: Hevea brasiliensis (rubber tree)
Lineage: Eukaryota; Viridiplantae; Streptophyta; Magnoliopsida; Malpighiales; Euphorbiaceae
Source: RNAcentral
AAAAAAGAACAUCAAAAAUCAAAUCACAUGUCAAGUCUCAGAAGUAAUCUUCAAAGCUUUAUUUUUUAUCCUAUACCUUGCAGCUCUAGGAAUAACCUGACUAGGACCAAAAUGAAACUGACCCGGACUCUCAGUCAUGGGUGGCCCGUCAUCAUACACAUAGCCCACAACCUUCCCACAAUUCAUACACAUCAUCUUAGUCCUUUUCCUCUGAAUUCCCCAAUAAUCAAGGGUUUCGAAAAAGGGUUUAAUUUUAUCUUCUUUCUCGAACUUGAAUUUGGAUGAAUCAACAGCGGAGAAAGAUAGAGUACCUUUAUUGCCGGCUUCGAAGUAAAAAUCCGGUGGGAAAAGAUAGUUGGUAUGGAGAUUGAAGUUUGUAUUGCACUCUUUACAACUGUAGAUUGAUGCCAUCUUUGACGGUGAAGGGGUUCGAUUGUGGUAAGGGGUUUUUAUGAAGAGAAAAAUUUGGGGAAGAUGAAUCGGGUUCAAAACCGCGUUCUCCGUGAAUUUGGGAAGGCGUUGAAAAGUCUGAUAAUCUAGACGUUAGGCGGCAAGAACAAGAUUUUCGGUCAUACCUAGGGCAAUGAAAAAUUCA